Molecule: ribosomal RNA, 432 nt
Filed under: uncultured bacterium
Lineage: Bacteria
Description: bacterial SSU rRNA
Rfam family: Bacterial small subunit ribosomal RNA
Source: RNAcentral
AAGAACGCUGGCGGCAUGCCUAACACAUGCAAGUCGAACGAGACCUUCGGGUCUAGUGGCGCACGGGUGCGUAACGCGUGGGAACCUGCCUUUAGGUUCGGAAUAACUCAGAGAAAUUUGAGCUAAUACCGGAUGAUGUCUUCGGACCAAAGAUUUAUCGCCUAAGGAUGAGCCCGCGUUGGAUUAGCUAGUUGGUGGGGUAAAGGCCUACCAAGGCGACGAUCCAUAGCUGGUCUGAGAGGAUGAUCAGCCACACUGGGACUGAGACACGGCCCAGACUCCUACGGGAGGCAGCAGUGGGGAAUAUUGGACAAUGGGCGAAAGCCUGAUCCAGCAAUGCCGCGUGAGUGAAGAAGGCCUUCGGGUUGUAAAGCUCUUUUACCCGGGAUGAUAAUGACAGUACCGGGAGAAUAAGCUCCGGCUAACUCCGUG